GACGAACGCUGGCGGCGUGCUUAACACAUGCGAGUCGAACGGAAAGGCCCUGCUUUUGUGGGGUGCUCGAGUGGCGAACGGGUGAGUAACACGUGAGUAACCUGCCCUUGACUUUGGGAUAACUUCAGGAAACUGGGGCUAAUACCGGAUAGGAGCUCCUGCUGCAUGGUGGGGGUUGGAAAGUUUCGGCGGUUGGGGAUGGACUCGCGGCUUAUCAGCUUGUUGGUGGGGUAGUGGCUUACCAAGGCUUUGACGGGUAGCCGGCCUGAGAGGGUGACCGGCCACAUUGGGACUGAGAUACGGCCCAGACUCCUACGGGAGGCAGCAGUGGGGAAUAUUGCACAAUGGGCGGAAGCCUGAUGCAGCAAUGCCGCGUGCGGGAUGACGGCCUUCGGGUUGUAAACCGCUUUCGCCUGUGACGAAGCGUGAGUGACGGUAAUGGGUAAAGAAGCACCGGCUAACUACGUG
RNAcentral lists this ribosomal RNA (468 nucleotides) under uncultured bacterium. RNAcentral describes it as "partial 16S ribosomal RNA". It matches the Rfam family "Bacterial small subunit ribosomal RNA", at positions 28 to 507 of the family's 1533-position model. The record is from RNAcentral.